AUGUCAAAGGGUAUUGUUGUGGUUUGCAGUGGUGGUAAUGAAGGACCCGAGCCACAUUCAAUUAAAAACGAUGCACCAUGGUUGAUCACAGUCGUUGCCGGCUCGGUGGAUCGAAGUUUUGAUGUUGGCGUCAAUCUCGGCAACGGCAUGAGCCUUCACGGUGAAGCGCUUAACCAGGUGGCAAAGCCGAUGUCAAAGAUGUAUCCACUCCUCUACUCCGAGGCACAGCGGGACUGUAACUACAUGGUUAACCAUGCUGUCGCCCAGAAGAUCGUGGUUUGUGACUCAGAGGCUCCUUGGUUCGUCGAUUCCAUACUGCAAGCCGGCGCGGCCGGGGUAGUGCUAGACAACAAGGCAUCCGAUGGCUACACGGUUUCUCUUGAUGACGACAACUCCGGUGUGGUGCAAAUGAGCGCGCGCGACGGCGCCGUCCUCAGAGCUUACGCGGCAUCAUCAAGCAGAUCGGCACGCGCUAGCUUCUCAUACCACAAGACAUUCCUUGGUUAUCGUCCGGCCCCUGUAGUGGCAUCGUUCUCUUCUCGAGGUCCAAGCAAGCAUUUCCCCGGCGUGCUCAAACCAGACAUAUUGGCGCCGGGGCUGAACAUCCUCGCUGCAUGUCCGUGGACGGAGUCCAAAAUAGGCCCUUUCAACAUAUUAUCCGGCACAUCGAUGGCAGCGCCACACAGCAGUGGUGUUGCAGCGCUUAUCAAGAGCUUGCAUCCUGAUUGGUCCCCAGCAGCCGUCAAGUCGGCCAUGAUGACGACUGCGUACGUUGUUAAUAGCACUGGUGGCUCGGUCUUGGACGAGAAGCACGGGAAAGCGGACGCGUAUGCGAUGGGCGCGGGCCAUGUGAAUCCAACAAGAGCCGCUGACCCUGGCUUGGUGUACGACCUGGGUGUCACCGACUAUGCUGGCUACAUCUGCUGGCUCCUCGGUGAUAGAGGUAACAAGAGCUUGACCUGCGCAAAGCUACCAAAGGUCAGAGAUGUUGAGCUCAACUACCCAACUAUAACUGUGCCAUUGAAGCCGACCGCCUUCAUGGUGAAUCGGACGGUGACGAACGUCGGGCCACCAUCAUUAACAUACGUUGCGAAGUUGGACAUGCCCAAGUCACUUACAGUACGCGUCACCCCGAACAAGCUGGUGUUCUCGAAGGCUAGGGAGAAGAAGAGCAGUUCAGGGCAGUUCAGGGCAGUACAACCGGACCACACACCGGGUUCUCAACUGUCCAGGGACCUUGCGCUGAUCAAAGCAAGUCACAUACAAUGGAACUGCGAGCUGCUGGACUUGCCCUAG
RNAcentral lists this ribosomal RNA (1296 nucleotides) under Triticum aestivum (bread wheat). RNAcentral describes it as "partial small subunit ribosomal RNA". The record is from RNAcentral. Lineage: Eukaryota; Viridiplantae; Streptophyta; Magnoliopsida; Poales; Poaceae.